GACGAACGCUGGCGGCGUGCUUAACACAUGCAAGUCGAACGGAGUGGCGAACGGGUGAGUAUUACGUGAGUAACCUGCCCUCAACUGUGGGAUAAGCCUGGGAAACUGGGUCUAAUACUGCAUAGUUGGGGAUGGGCUCGCGGUCUGUCAGCUUGUUGGUGGGGUGAUGGCCUACCAAGGCGGUGGCGGGUAGCCGGCCUGAGAGGGUGGUGGGCCACAGUGGGAGUGCGAAACGGCCCAGAAGCCAACAGGAGGGAGCAGUGGGGGAUAUUGCACAAUGGGCGCGAGCCUGAUGCAGCGACGCCGCGUGGGGGAUGAAGGCUUUCGGGUUGUAAACCGCGUUGGGUACAGAACGGGUAUGUGCAGAAGAAGCGCCGGCUAACUACGUGCCAGCAGCCGCGGUAAUAC
This 408-nucleotide ribosomal RNA is filed under the name uncultured bacterium. RNAcentral describes it as "partial 16S ribosomal RNA". It matches the Rfam family "Bacterial small subunit ribosomal RNA", at positions 28 to 526 of the family's 1533-position model. The record is from RNAcentral.